GAUGAACGCUGGCGGCGUGCCUAAUACAUGCAAGUCGAGCGAACAGACGAGAGUGCUUGCACUCUCUGACGUUAGCGGCGGACGGGUGAGUAACACGUGGGUAACCUACCUAUAAGACUGGGAUAACUUCGGGAAACCGGAGCUAAUACCGGAUAAUAUUUUGCUUCGCAUGAAGCAAUAGUGAAAGACGGUUCUGCUGUCACUUAUAGAUGGACCCGCGGUGUAUUAGCUAGUUGGUGAGGUAACGGCUCACCAAGGCAACGAUACAUAGCCGACCUGAGAGGGUGAUCGGCCACACUGGGACUGAGACACGGCCCAGACUCCUACGGGAGGCAGCAGUAGGGAAUCUUCCGCAAUGGACGAAAGUCUGACGGAGCAAUGCCGCGUGAGUGAAGAAGGUUUUCGGAUCGUAAAACUCUGUUGUAAGGGAAGAACAAGUACGUUAGUAACUGAACGUACCUUGACGGUACCUUACCAGAAAGCCACGGCUAACUUCGUG
Molecule: ribosomal RNA, 499 nt
Filed under: uncultured bacterium
Lineage: Bacteria
Description: partial 16S ribosomal RNA
Rfam family: Bacterial small subunit ribosomal RNA
Source: RNAcentral